RNAcentral lists this ribosomal RNA (980 nucleotides) under human gut metagenome. RNAcentral describes it as "bacterial LSU rRNA". It matches the Rfam family "Bacterial large subunit ribosomal RNA", at positions 1951 to 2925 of the family's 2925-position model. The record is from RNAcentral.
CUAAGGUAGCGAAAUUCCUUGUCGGGUAAGUUCCGACCUGCACGAAUGGCGUAAUGAUGGCCAGGCUGUCUCCACCCGAGACUCAGUGAAAUUGAACUCGCUGUGAAGAUGCAGUGUACCCGCGGCAAGACGGAAAGACCCCGUGAACCUUUACUAUAGCUUGACACUGAACAUUGAGCCUUGAUGUGUAGGAUAGGUGGGAGGCUUUGAAGUGUGGACGCCAGUCUGCAUGGAGCCGACCUUGAAAUACCACCCUUUAAUGUUUGAUGUUCUAACGUUGACCCGUAAUCCGGGUUGCGGACAGUGUCUGGUGGGUAGUUUGACUGGGGCGGUCUCCUCCUAAAGAGUAACGGAGGAGCACGAAGGUUGGCUAAUCCUGGUCGGACAUCAGGAGGUUAGUGCAAUGGCAUAAGCCAGCUUGACUGCGAGCGUGACGGCGCGAGCAGGUGCGAAAGCAGGUCAUAGUGAUCCGGUGGUUCUGAAUGGAAGGGCCAUCGCUCAACGGAUAAAAGGUACUCCGGGGAUAACAGGCUGAUACCGCCCAAGAGUUCAUAUCGACGGCGGUGUUUGGCACCUCGAUGUCGGCUCAUCACAUCCUGGGGCUGAAGUAGGUCCCAAGGGUAUGGCUGUUCGCCAUUUAAAGUGGUACGCGAGCUGGGUUUAGAACGUCGUGAGACAGUUCGGUCCCUAUCUGCCGUGGGCGCUGGAGAACUGAGGGGGGCUGCUCCUAGUACGAGAGGACCGGAGUGGACGCAUCACUGGUGUUCGGGUUGUCAUGCCAAUGGCACUGCCCGGUAGCUAAAUGCGGAAGAGAUAAGUGCUGAAAGCAUCUAAGCACGAAACUUGCCCCGAGAUGAGUUCUCCCUGACUCCUUGAGAGUCCUGAAGGAACGUUGAAGACGACGACGUUGAUAGGCCGGGUGUGUAAGCGCAGCGAUGCGUUGAGCUAACCGGUACUAAUGAACCGUGAGGCUUAACCUU